This 851-nucleotide long non-coding RNA is filed under the name Dromaius novaehollandiae (emu). Its description in RNAcentral is "lncRNA (ENSDNVG00000017367.1)". Lineage: Eukaryota; Metazoa; Chordata; Aves; Casuariiformes; Dromaiidae. The record is from RNAcentral.
GACAAGAGGAAAAAUAAGGGAGGUUGAGGAUGUUAAUGGGAAGAUGAGGUUAAUUUGAUAGUUUGUCUUCUCAGAAAUAGACUCUGACUCUCCCUGUUGUUGACUCUCCUUCCCUCAAAGCCUGUUUAAAGAAAAAUCAUUUACAAGUCUUUUCCUGCUCUUGACACAGGCAAAAACAUGACCCAUCUGCUAAACCUGGGUUUACAUGAUCUCUCCAAAAGAGGAGGAUUAGGAUCAGGAUUAGGACAGAGACCGAUGCACGGAUCUUUAGUUUCCCGAUGUCCUAAACUUCGGAUUUCCUCGCUGCCAGUCUUCCCCUGUCAUUAGCUCAUUCCUGACGACUUCCAUUCCAACCUCCUAAAUCAUAUACAGGUUUAAACUCAUCCCUUCGUCCUUCCUCCACAAGUGAUUCCCAAUACAAGACGAACCAGUAUGUCACAACAAGAAGGUAGCUGCUGAUUUUCACCUGAUUCUUCAGCCACAGACACCAGGGUUGUGGACAAGGUCAACUGAGGAAAAUAAUUCCAGUAUUACAAAGAAGAAGAGGUCCCUAAAGUCAACCAUAAGCCAGUUUUAUCCUCCCAUGGGUUGAUGUGGUGCAGAAAGCAAAGGAAGCAGCCUGCUCCGCUCCACUCCUUCGCUCUGCCCUGGGGAGCUCUCCCGCCCCAACGGCGGCAGGCCGGGACGUCUGGCAUCCAGAGGAGUGGGAAAACAAACAGCUCUCACAGUCCCAAUUCCACUUUUUGCCUCCUCUUUGAAACCAGAUUGGCUCAGCGUGCUGGCUGAAUGUGCCUUUUCGUCGGCGCAGUCUUCCUGGCUCCUCAAUAAAUGGACUCCCAAACCUGAAGGCA